RNA transcript from Arachis duranensis, 2886 nucleotides. RefSeq lists it as uncharacterized. Lineage: Eukaryota; Viridiplantae; Streptophyta; Magnoliopsida; Fabales; Fabaceae. The record is from RefSeq and is a predicted model, not a curated record. The transcript is spliced from 12 exons.
AUACAUAAAAAAACGGAGACAGGCACAUCUGAAAGAGGGUGUUUCUCUCGCCGAUAACAAAGGUACCACACACACUCCCAACUCACAAGAAGAAACAAAGACCUUCAAUUCACACUAUUUCUAGGGUUUUUUUUCUCUCUACUUCUUCAUGAAAUGCCAUAAUUUACCCAACUUCCUCGUAGCUAACAGAUAGCUGAGAUAGGAAUUGUUUUGGCUUUCAGAUUACUUCCUCUUCGACUUUCAUGAUUGUAUUAAGUUUUCACUAUGAGUGGCACACCUAAGAGAUCUCAUGAAGAUACUCUUCAUCCAUCUUCAAAGCAUCCCCACGAUGAUUCAAGUACAUAUUCCAAGUUGGUUUCAACUUCAAAUGAAUACCAUGUGCCUUAUGAUAUAGGUCAGGAUUCCCGUGCUGCAAAAGCGCCCCGGACAGAAUUCCGUGAUGCUGAUAGAAAAUCUCCUCUUCCUUCAGUGUAUCGGAUUACAUCACUAUCAAAUGAUUCUCAUCCGGAUCAUCCACUUGGUAUUGAGAACAAGAUAGAGUCAAGGGAUUCUAAGGACAACAGAGAUUUCCGAUUUGAAAAUCGUGAUUCAAAGAUAGAGAAGAAGGAUAUACAUGUCGAAGCUAGAAGGGAUGCUCAGAGUGCUAAGAGUGAAAAGGAUUUGCGUGUUGAGGGUAGAGGAGAUGACAAUAAGGAUGUCAAAUAUGACCGGGAGAGUCAUAAUGAAUCAAAAGGUGAGAAGACAGAAAAGGAUGGCUAUGGUAUGGUUAGCAGCCAUUUGAAUUGGAAGGAAUCAAAAGAUUACCAUAGGGGAAAACGAUAUUCAGAUUCACCUAGUCGUAGUUUGGAGACUUGGCAAAUGCCACGUAGCAAUUCACAAGGACCACUUGAGGCUCGAAAGGAGAGUUCAACAACAAAAGAAAGGGACUACGUGGAAGCUCACGAGGCUGUUGGGGAGAACAAAGUAGACUCUAAAGGUGAUGAUAGAUCUAAAGAAAAAGAUAGGAAAGGCAAGGAUGUGAAGCAUCGGGAAUGGGGAGAGAAGGAAAAAGAAAGAAACGAUCGUAGAAGCAGUGCAGACGUUAGCAAUACAAGUGGUGAUGGUAAAGAAUCCGCCAAGGAAGACAAAGAUGUAGAAAGGUCGGAGAAAGAGAAAAAAGAUCAUCCAAAAGAGAGAGAAAAUUCAAAAGACAGGGAAAAGGAUCAGAUCAAGAAAGACUCAUUGAAUGGAAUGGAUAAAGAGAUUCCAAAUAAUGAGAAGGAACUUGGGGAUGGAUUGGUUAAAUUGCCAGAACAAGAAACUGUGUUACCAGACCAGAAGAAACAAAAAGAUGCUGAUAGCUGGAAAAAUGUUGAUCGUGAAUCAAAAGAGAAAAAAAAAGAGAGAGAUGCUGAUUCAGAAGGUGAUAAGCCGGAUAGACCUGAUAAGCGAAAUAGAGGCUUUGACAAGGAAUCAGAUGAUGGCUGUGCUGAUGUGGAAGGGGCUAUAGAGAAGGAGAAGGAGAAGGAACCCUAUAAUUUCAGUGCCCAGCAACGCAGAAGGAUACAACGAUCUAGGGGGAGUCCUCAGGUGCCUAACCGAGAGCCUCGUUUCAGAUCCCGUUCCGCAGACAAUGAUGGGUCUCAAGGUAAAGUAGAGGUUUCAUCUGUUGUUUACAAGGUUGGUGAUAGUAUGCAAGAGCUGAUAAAACUGUGGGAGGAAUAUAAAUCAUCCGUGUCUCAACUGGAGAAAAAUGGUGAAAGUUCUAGUAAUGGGCCUACUUUGGAAAUUUGUAUACCUUCUGAUUAUGUUACUGCUACAAAUCGUCAAGUCAGAGGUGGCCAGCUUUGGGGGACCGAUGUAUACACAUAUGACUCGGAUCUUGUUGCUGUUCUCAUGCACACAGGUUACUGUCGCCCAACAGCUUCUCCGCCUCAUGCAGCCAUACAAGAGUUGCGUGCAACCAUCCGAGUGCUUCCUCCACAAGAUUGCUAUACCUCCACAUUGAGAAACAAUGUAAGAUCCCGAGCUUGGGGUGCAGCAAUUGGUUGUAGUUAUCGAGUUGAACGGUGUUGCAUUGUGAAGAAAGGGGGUGGAACUAUAGAUCUUGAACCUUGCCUUACCUAUACUUCAACCAUUGAGCCCACCCUUGCUCCGGUGGCUGUUGAACGGACAAUAACUACCAGGGCAGCAGCUUCGAAUGCUUUGCGACAGCAAAGAUUUGUUCGAGAAGUCACAAUACAGUACAACCUCUGCAAUGAGCCCUGGACCAAAUAUAGCAUAAGCAUUGUUGCUGACAAAGGUCUUAAAAGACCACUCUACACGUCUGCUCGUUUGAAGAAGGGGGAAGUCUUGUAUUUGGAGACACAUUUUUAUAGGUAUUUUUGACAUGUCAUGGCUACACCAACAACUCCAUUGCGCGACGCAGGAACAGAGAAGUCUCAGAAUCACCACCACCACCACUCUGCGAUUGGUGAAAAACAUGAUGGUGAUAAUGUCAUGAUUGAGGCAUUCCGUUGGUCUCGUUGUAAGAAGCCUCUGCCCCAGAAGGUGAUGCGCACCAUUGGCAUCCCUCUGCCCCCUGAACAUGUUGAGGUACUGGAGGAUAAUUUGGACUGGGAAGAUGUGCAAUGGUCACAAACUGGUGUAUGGAUUGCAGGAAAGGAAUAUACACUUGCAAGGGCGCAUUUCUUGUCAAUGAAUUAGUUCUAUUUUACCCACGAAUGGAUUAGUUCAUUACUAAUUUCUUAUUAUUUAUUUUAUGGAUAUUGUGUUGGGUUGAUGUAAUAGGUUUAUUCACGUACCUUGAGAUAUUGUCUUCUCUUUUCUUGUAACUAAAGCUGUUGUAUUUUAUGGGGGCAUGGCUAUUGAUCUUAAAUCAAAUAUGUAGUAGUUUAAUUAUGCAUA